RNAcentral lists this ribosomal RNA (468 nucleotides) under uncultured bacterium. Its description in RNAcentral is "partial 16S ribosomal RNA". It matches the Rfam family "Bacterial small subunit ribosomal RNA", at positions 28 to 507 of the family's 1533-position model. The record is from RNAcentral.
GACGAACGCUGGCGGCGUGCUUAACACAUGCAAGUCGAACGGAAAGGCCCUGCUUUUGUGGGGUGCUCGAGUGGCGAACGGGUGAGUAACACGUGAGUAACCUGCCCUUGACUUUGGGAUAACUUCAGGAAACUGGGGCUAAUACCGGAUAGGAGCUCCUGCUGCGUGGUGGGCGUUGGAAAGUUUCGGCGUUUGGGGAUGGACUCGCGGCUUAUCAGCUUGUUGGUGGGGUAGUGGCUUACCAAGGCUUUGACGGGUAGCCGGCCUGAGAGGGUGGCCGGCGACAAUGGGACUGAGAGACGGACCAGACUCCUACGGGAGGCAGAAGUGGGGAACAUGGCACAAUGGGCGGGAGCCUGAUGCAGCAACGCCGCGUGCGGGAUGCCGGCCUUCGGGUGGUAAACCGCUUUCGCCUGUGACGAAGCGUGAGUGACGGUAAUGGGUAAAGAAGCACCGGCUAACUACGUG